CACGUAGUUAGCCGGGGCUUCUUACUCAGGUACCGUCUUCUUUCUUCCCUGCUGAUAGAGCUUUACAUACCGAAAUACUUCUUCACUCACGCGGCGUCGCUGCAUCAGGGUUUCCCCCAUUGUGCAAUAUCCCCCACUGCUGCCUCCCGUAGGAGUUUGGGCCGCGUCUCAGUCCCAAUGUGGCCGUCCACCCUCUCAGGCCGGCUACUGAUCGUCGCUUUGGUAGGCCGUUACCCUGCCAACUGGCUAAUCAGACGCGGGCCCAUCUUAUACCACCGGAGUUUUUCACCCUGGGCCAUGCGGCCUCGGCGCUUACUGCGGUCUUAGCACCUAUUUCUAAGUGUUAUCCCCUCGUAUAAGGCGACGGUUACCCACGCGUUACUCACCCGUCCGCCCACUAAACGUAAAAUUA
RNAcentral lists this ribosomal RNA (412 nucleotides) under uncultured Butyrivibrio sp. Its description in RNAcentral is "partial 16S ribosomal RNA". Lineage: Bacteria; Bacillati; Bacillota; Clostridia; Lachnospirales; Lachnospiraceae. The record is from RNAcentral.